GGGCGUGUAGCUCAGUUGGUAGAGCGUGUCAUUAGCAUCUACUACUUGACAAGGUCUUUGGUUCGAUUCCUAACUCGUCCA
Molecule: transfer RNA, 81 nt
Filed under: Apiotrichum porosum
Lineage: Eukaryota; Fungi; Basidiomycota; Tremellomycetes; Trichosporonales; Trichosporonaceae
Description: Trichosporon porosum tRNA
Rfam family: tRNA
About the family: Transfer RNA (tRNA) molecules are approximately 80 nucleotides in length. Their secondary structure includes four short double-helical elements and three loops (D, anti-codon, and T loops). Further hydrogen bonds mediate the characteristic L-shaped molecular structure. tRNAs have two regions of fundamental functional importance: the anti-codon, which is responsible for specific mRNA codon recognition, and the 3' end, to which the tRNAs corresponding amino acid is attached (by aminoacyl-tRNA synthetases). tRNAs cope with the degeneracy of the genetic code in two manners: having more than one tRNA (with a specific anti-codon) for a particular amino acid; and 'wobble' base-pairing, i.e. permitting non-standard base-pairing at the 3rd anti-codon position.
Source: Rfam by way of RNAcentral